Molecule: long non-coding RNA, 98 nt
Organism: Hibiscus syriacus
Lineage: Eukaryota; Viridiplantae; Streptophyta; Magnoliopsida; Malvales; Malvaceae
Exons: 3
Source: RefSeq, a predicted model, not a curated record
UUCUCCAACUUCUGCUUCUUUGUCUUUGUCAUGCUCGAUGAUUGAACAUAAGUCUCUUGACAUGCCUUGAUAAUGCAUCGAACAUGUGGGUCAUCUGU